AUUGAACGCUGGCGGCAGGCCUAAAACAUGAGAGUCGAGCGGAUGAAGGAAAAUAGCUACUGGAAUAAGAAACGGACGGAUGAAUAAAACAUAGAAAAAUAAAUAGUACUGGAGGAUACAGUAAGGAACCGGGCGCUAAUACCGCAUACGUCCUGAGGGAGAAAGUGGGGGAUCUUCGGACCUCACGCUAUCAGAUGAGCCUAGGUCGGAUUAGCUAGUUGGUGGGGUAAAGGCCUACCAAGGCGACGAUCCGUAACUGGUCUGAGAGGAUGAUCAGUCACACUGGAACUGAGACACGGUCCAGACUCCUACGGGAGGCAGCAGUGGGGAAUAUUGGACAAUGGGCGAAAGCCUGAUCCAGCCAUGCCGCGUGUGUGAAGAAGGUCUUCGGAGUGUAAAGCACUUUAAGUUGGGAUGAAGGGCAGUAAGUUAAUACCUUGCUGUUUUGACGUUACCAACAGAAUAAGCACCGGCUAACUUCGUG
RNAcentral lists this ribosomal RNA (484 nucleotides) under uncultured bacterium. Its description in RNAcentral is "partial 16S ribosomal RNA". It matches the Rfam family "Bacterial small subunit ribosomal RNA", at positions 30 to 507 of the family's 1533-position model. The record is from RNAcentral.